UACGGAGGGUGCGAGCGUUAUCCGGAAUCACUGGGCGUAAAGGGCGCGUAGGCGGUCUAGUAAGUCCGAUGUUAAAGAGCGGGGCUCAACCCCGUCACGGCGUUGGAUACUGCUGGGCUUGACGGCUGGAGAGGCGAGUGGAAUUACCAGUGUAGCGGUGGAAUGCGUAGAUACUGGUAGGAACACCCAUUGCGAAGGCAGCUCACUGGACAGCACGUGACGCUGAGGCGCGAAGGUGUGGGGAGCAAACCGGAUUAGAUACCCGGGUAGUCCACACCCUAAACGAUGCACAUUUGGUGUCGGCCCGGUGGGGUCGGCGCCGGAGUUAACGCGUUAAAUGUGCCGCCUGGGAAGUACGGCCGCAAGGUUGAA
This 372-nucleotide ribosomal RNA is filed under the name uncultured bacterium. RNAcentral's name for it is "bacterial SSU rRNA". It matches the Rfam family "Bacterial small subunit ribosomal RNA", at positions 524 to 898 of the family's 1533-position model. The record is from RNAcentral.